This 468-nucleotide ribosomal RNA is filed under the name uncultured bacterium. RNAcentral's name for it is "bacterial SSU rRNA". It matches the Rfam family "Bacterial small subunit ribosomal RNA", at positions 29 to 507 of the family's 1533-position model. The record is from RNAcentral.
AGUGAACGCUGGCGGCGUGCUUAACACAUGCAAGUCGAACGAGAACGGGUUAUAACUUGUUAUAACUGUCAGCUAAGUGGCGCACGGGUGAGUAAUGUAUAGGUAAUAUGCCUUUUACUAAGGGAUAACAAUUGGAAACGAUUGCUAAUACCUUAUACUCCUAUUUAACAUAAGUUAAAUAGGGAAAGAUUUAUUGGUAAGAGAUUGGCCUGUAUUGUAUCAGUUAGUUGGUGGGGUAAUGGCCUACCAAGACGAUGACGCAUAACUGGUUUGAGAGGAUGAUCAGUCACACUGGAACUGAGACACGGUCCAGACUCCUACGGGAGGCAGCAGUGGGGAAUAUUGCACAAUGGACGAAAGUCUGAUGCAGCAACGCCGCGUGGAGGAUGACACAUUUCGGUGCGUAAACUCCUUUUAUAUAAGAAGAUAAUGACGGUAUUAUAUGAAUAAGCACCGGCUAACUCCGUG